CAGCAGCCACGGUAAAACGGAGGGUGCAAGCGUUAAUCGGAAUUACUGGGCGUAAAGCGCACGCAGGCGGUCUGUUAAGUCAGGGGUGAAAUCCCGGGGCUCAACCCCGGAACUGCCUUUGAUACUGGGUGUCUAGAGUAUGGAAGAGGUGAGUGGAAUUCCGAGUGUAGAGGUGAAAUUCGUAGAUAUUCGGAGGAACACCAGUGGCGAAGGCGGCUCACUGGUCCAUUACUGACGCUGAGGUGCGAAAGCGUGGGGAGCAAACAGGAUUAGAUACCCCGGUAGUCCCUGUCUCUUAUAC
RNAcentral lists this ribosomal RNA (301 nucleotides) under uncultured bacterium. RNAcentral's name for it is "partial 16S ribosomal RNA". It matches the Rfam family "Bacterial small subunit ribosomal RNA", at positions 509 to 807 of the family's 1533-position model. The record is from RNAcentral.